Molecule: ribosomal RNA, 253 nt
Filed under: uncultured bacterium
Lineage: Bacteria
Description: partial 16S ribosomal RNA
Rfam family: Bacterial small subunit ribosomal RNA
Source: RNAcentral
GACGAACCGUGCGAACGUUAUUCGGAAUCACUGGGCUUAAAGGGCGCGUAGGCGGGUCACCAAGUCCGGGGUGAAAUCCCACGGCCCAACCGUGGAAGUGCCUUGGAUACUGGUGACCUCGAGGGGGGUAGGGGCGUGCGGAACUCAGGGUGGAGCGGUGAAAUGCGUAGAUAUCCUGAGGAACACCGGUGGCGAAAGCGGCGCGCUGGACCCCUUCUGACGCUGAGGCGCGAAAGCCAGGGGAGCAAACGGG